Molecule: unclassified non-coding RNA, 20 nt
Filed under: Mus musculus (house mouse)
Lineage: Eukaryota; Metazoa; Chordata; Mammalia; Rodentia; Muridae
Description: oocyte_clustered_small_RNA11449
Source: RNAcentral
UGAACAGCAGCAUGGAAGUU